RNAcentral lists this ribosomal RNA (900 nucleotides) under uncultured bacterium. RNAcentral's name for it is "bacterial SSU rRNA". It matches the Rfam family "Bacterial small subunit ribosomal RNA", at positions 41 to 902 of the family's 1533-position model. The record is from RNAcentral.
GGGGGGGCAAAACUGCAAGUCGAGCGAGCUUGCCUAGAUGAUUUUAGUGCUUGCACUAAAUGAAACUAGAUACAAGCGAGCGGCGGACGGGUGAGUAACACGUGGGUAACCUGCCCAAGAGACUGGGAUAACACCUGGAAACAGAUGCUAAUACCGGAUAACAACACUAGACGCAUGUCUAGAGUUUGAAAGAUGGUUCUGCUAUCACUCUUGGAUGGACCUGCGGUGCAUUAGCUAGUUGGUAAGGUAACGGCUUACCAAGGCAAUGAUGCAUAGCCGAGUUGAGAGACUGAUCGGCCACAUUGGGACUGAGACACGGCCCAAACUCCUACGGGAGGCAGCAGUAGGGAAUCUUCCACAAUGGACGAAAGUCUGAUGGAGCAACGCCGCGUGAGUGAAGAAGGGUUUCGGCUCGUAAAGCUCUGUUGGUAGUGAAGAAAGAUAGAGGUAGUAACUGGCCUUUAUUUGACGGUAAUUACUUAGAAAGUCACGGCUAACUACGUGCCAGCAGCCGCGGUAAUACGUAGGUGGCAAGCGUUGUCCGGAUUUAUUGGGCGUAAAGCGAGUGCAGGCGGUUCAAUAAGUCUGAUGUGAAAGCCUUCGGCUCAACCGGAGAAUUGCAUCAGAAACUGUUGAACUUGAGUGCAGAAGAGGAGAGUGGAACUCCAUGUGUAGCGGUGGAAUGCGUAGAUAUAUGGAAGAACACCAGUGGCGAAGGCGGCUCUCUGGUCUGCAACUGACGCUGAGGCUCGAAAGCAUGGGUAGCGAACAGGAUUAGAUACCCUGGUAGUCCAUGCCGUAAACGAUGAGUGCUAAGUGUUGGGAGGUUUCCGCCUCUCAGUGCUGCAGCUAACGCAUUAAGCACUCCGCCUGGGGAGUACGACCGCAAGGUUUGAACUC